Long non-coding RNA from Trematomus bernacchii (emerald rockcod), 1750 nucleotides. RefSeq lists it as uncharacterized. The record is from RefSeq and is a predicted model, not a curated record. NCBI's taxonomy places the organism in Eukaryota, Metazoa, Chordata, Actinopteri, Perciformes, Nototheniidae. The transcript is spliced from 3 exons.
ACAACAACAAACUACAGGUGAAUAAACUACAGGUAAUAAACUACAGGUAAUAAACUAUAGGUGAACAAACUACAGGUAUUAAACUACAGGUGAAUAAACUACAGGUAAUAAACUACAGGUAAUAAACUACAGGUGAAUAAACUACAGGUAAUAAACUACAGGUAAUAAACUACAGGUGAAUAAACUACAGGUAAUAAACUACAGGUGAAUAAACUACAGGUAAUAAACUACAGGUAAUAAACUACAGGUGAAUAAACUACAGGUAAUAAACUAUAGGUGAAUAAACUACAGGUAAUAAACUACAGGUAAUAAACUACAGGUGAAUAAACUACAGGUAAUAAACUACAGGUGAAUAAACUACAGGGAAUAAACUACAGGGAAUAAACUACAGGUGAAUAAACUACAGGUAAUAAACUACAGGUAAUAAACUACAGGCGAAUAAACUACAGGCGAAUAAACUACAGGUAAUAAACUACAGGUGAAUAAACUACAGGUGAAUAAACUACAGGUGAAUAAAUUACAGGUGAAUAAAUUACAGGUGAAUAAACUACAGGUAAUAAACUACAGGUGAAUAAACUACAGGUAAUAAACUACAGGUAAUAAACUACAGGUGAAUAAACUACAGGUGAAUAAACUACAGGUAAUAAACUACAGGUGAAUAAACUACAGGUGAAUAAACUACAGGUAAUAAACUACAGGUGAAUAAACUACAGGUAAUAAACUACAGGUAAUAAACUACAGGUGAAUAAACUACAGGUGAAUAAACUACAGGUAAUAAACUACAGGUGAAUAAACUACAGGUAAAUAAACUACAAAACUACAGGUAAUAAACUACAGGUGAAUAAACUACAGGUAAUAAAACUACAGGUAAUAAACUACAGGUGAAUAAACUACAGGUGAAUAAACUACAGGUAAUAAACUACAGGUGAAUAAACUACAGGUAAUAAACUACAGGUGAAUAAACUACAGGUGAAUAAACUACAGGUGAAUAAACUACAGGUGAAUAAACUACAGGUAAUAAACUACAGGUAAUAAACUACAGGUGAAUAAACUACAGGUAAUAAACUACAGGUGAAUAAACUACAGGUAAUAAACUACAGGUAAUAAACUACAGGUGAAUAAACUACAGGUAAUAAACUACAGGUGAAUAAACUACAGGUAAUAAACUACAGGUGAAUAAACUACAGGUGAAUAAACUACAGGUGAAUACACUACAGGUAAAUAAACUACAGGUGAAUAAACUACAAAACUACAGGUAAUAAACUACAGGUAAAUAAACUACAGGUGAAUAAACUACAGGUAAUAAACUACAGGUGAAUAAACUACAGGUGAAUAAACUACAGGUGAAUAAACUACAGGUGAAUAAACUACAGGUAAUAAACUACAGGUGAAUAAACUACAGGUAAUAAACUACAGGUGAAUAAACUACAGGUAAUAAACUACAGGUAAUAAACUACAGGUGAAUAAACUACAGGUGAAUAAACUACAGGUAAUAAACUACAGGUGAAUAAACUACAGGUGAAUAAACUACAGGUAAUAAACUACAGGUGAAUAAACUACAGGUGAAUAAACUACAGGUAAUAAACUACAGGUGAAUAAACUACAGGUAAUAAACUACAGGUAAUAAACUACGGUGAAUAAACUACAGGUAAUAAACUACAGGUUAAUAAACUACAGGUGAAUAAACUACAGGUAAUAAACUACAGGUGAAUAAACUACAGGUAAUAAACUACAGGUAAUAAACUACAGG